Erigeron canadensis is the source of this 3690-nucleotide long non-coding RNA. RefSeq lists it as uncharacterized. The record is from RefSeq and is a predicted model, not a curated record. NCBI's taxonomy places the organism in Eukaryota, Viridiplantae, Streptophyta, Magnoliopsida, Asterales, Asteraceae. The transcript is spliced from 4 exons.
GUCCGUUUCCCAUCACUCUGCACCACGAUGGUGUAUAUGCCACUUCGUUAUGAAGUUGGGAUAACCAAAUUCUUGAACAUUCCAAGAGUUUCAUUAGAACAAGUUAGAAGUUACAUCGAAGCUGAAACUGGUAGCCCUAUAUUUAACAUUUACUACCUUUUAACCAGUGGUGAUUUUGGAACUAUAAUGAGAUUAGUUUCAAAUCAAGAUUUGGAAGUAUUUUAUGAUGUUGGUGAAAGCUAUGGCACCAUGCAUAUGUAUGUUGAUCACCAGAAUUUAAACUUAGAACACUAUAUAAAUAAUGGACCUGAGGAUCAUGUAGGAGAUGAUGAUAAUCAAGAGGUUGUAGAGCAGGUUGAGUUGGUACAGGAUGAUGAUUAGCCUCCCCCUGAGGAUGAUGAUGAUGAUCAGCCUCUACAUGUGAAUGAACCCGAUGACUCUUUUAGGACUCCUGAGGCAGGUUAAUCUAGCAUGAAGAGCACUCCUGAGGCAGGUCAAUCUAGCAACCAACCACAAGAUGGAAACUUUAGUGAUUUGAAGAUGAGGACUAUGAACCAGAUGAAUCUGAUGUUGAAUCACUUGCUUCUUUAGAUCAUCUUAGUGAGGGUAAGGAAGAGCUAGAACAGGUAAGACAGGGUAAUCACAAGUAAACAAUUGCCUAAACUUGGUGGUGGUGUUAAGGAUAGAGAGGACAGGUCAGUAUUACAUGAAGAGCAUGAUAAUUUUAUUUCCAAACUAGUAAAUGCAUUGAAAGAUGAUAGCAAAUCAGAGUGGGUUGAUCCAUUGGAACCACCCAAAGAUGAUGUGCCAAAGUUUCCAAUACAUGACAAACAUACCCAUUGGAGAUUGAAGGAACCCAAGAUUGGAGAGAGGUAUGAGAGUCCACAACAAUUGAAAGAGUGUUUGUCUUAUUAUGCAUUGGCCAAUGGUUAUUCACUGUGGUAUGAGAGGGCUUCUAAAAGCCAUAUCAUUGCAAGAUGUGGAGUCAGGCCACCAAGGAUAAAAGACCCCAGUGUUGGCAAAUAGAGAAAAAACAGAAGAUAUCAGCCCCCUCCACAGAAAUGUAAUUGGAGGUUGGCUGCUGCAUGGAUGACUUCAGAAAGAUCUUUCCAGGUGAAGAAGCUAGUUGAUGACCACACAUAUGCAAGAAAUUUCAAGUAUGGUAGCCUGAUCAACUACAAGUGGAUAGGUAGACACUUUGCAGACAGAAUUAGACAACAACCUAAUAUCAAAUGCUCUCUACUUCAAGAACUGGUAAUGAAAAAAUAUAAAUGUUUUGUAACACAACAGCAAGUCAAAAGAGCUAGAGCAUGGGCAUUGAAUGAGUAUGAGAAGUCAUUGGAGGUGCACUAUGCAAUGCUAAGGCCAUAUGGAGAUGCACUGUUAAGGACAACCCCAGGGUCAACUGUGCAAUUAGGUACAACCACAAAUCCAGAUGGAAAGACUUACUUUGAUAGGUUCUAUGUGUGCCUGUUUGGUCUCAAGGAAGGAUUCAAGAAGCGAUGUAGGAGAAUAGUUGCCUUAGAUGGAUGUUUUCUAGAAGUCAUCAUGUGGAGGUGAGUUAUUGACUACAGUAGGGAGAGAUGGAAAUAACCAGAUCUAUCCUAUUGCAUGGGCAAUUGUCAAUGUGGAAAACAAGCAUAAUUGGACAUGGUUUCUUACACUACUGAGCAAUGACCUUGAUGCCCCCAAUGGAUUUCAACUCAUACUGAUGUCAGAUGGACAUAAGGGACUGAUUGAAGCUGUGAAAGAUGUGAUGCCAAGAGCUGUGCAUAGGUAGUGUGCAAGGCAUGUAUAUGAGAACUUCAGGAAAAUAUAUAGUGGGGUUGAAUUCAGGAAUUUGUUUUGGAGAGCUGCUAAAAGUAGUUACCCUGCACAAUUUGACUCUGUGAUGAAAGAAAUUAAAGCUGCUAACCCAAAUGCCUUCAAGUACUUGAUGGAAAGGAACCCAAAGUCAUGAAGCAUGGCAUUUUUCAAGACUGAUGUAUGCUGUGAAUCUGUUGAGAAUGGCUUCAGUGAAUGCUGGAACUCUGUGCUGACUAAGGUAAGAAACAAACCAAUAAUUACUCUCUUAGAAGCACUUAGAGUCAUGGUGAUGAUUAGGUUAGAAUCAACUAGAGAGAAAAGCUCACUGUGGGAACAUGAUAUUUGUCCUGCUAUAAGAAAAAAGUUAGAAGUAAUAAGAAGUGGAGGGGCAGAUUGGUUAGUCAUACAUGCUGGUCAAAACAAAUUUGAGAUUAGGAACUAUAGAUAUGCAUAUGGUGUAGAUGUGGACAUGGGUACUUGUGAUUGUAGAAUGUGGGAUUUGAGUGGUAUACCAUGUGUUCAUGCAAUGCAAGCAAUGUAUAAAAUGAACAGGAAUCCUAAGGAUUACUUAGCCAUUUAGUUCAGAAAGACUUACUUUAUGUUUGCAUAUUAGCAUUACUUGAAUCCAGUUGGGGGAAUGGACACAUGGUUUUCAUUUCCAGGUUCAGUUGUGCCACUGCCACCCAGGCCAAGCUAUGCCUGGGAGACCAAAAAAGAAAAGGACGAGGGCAACACAUGAACCAAAAGUGUAUGGUUCCAGGGUUACAAAACAUGGGGUAGAGAUGAGUUGUUCCAACUGCCUGCAGAAGGGCCACAAUGCUAGAGGUUGUAAGAAUGAGAAGGUAGAAAAACCAGUGGUUGCAAAGCCCAAAGGGAGGCCACCAAAGCAGAAAGCUAGUGAAAGCAUGAGUAGUGGCAAUGCUGGUCCAAGUCAGAGACCAAGUGCACAAGUCUGGAGCAGGGCAACCAAAUACCUAGCCAGGGACCACAACCUCAGGGUUCUACAUGCACUGGUGUUCCACAGAGAGCAAGUCAAUGUUCUAGUGUCAAAAAGAGAUUGUUUGAAGAUAGUCAUAUUGCACCAAAUCAACAAAGUCAAAGUAGCCGUCAUGGUAAAGCACAAGUUAACUCUGAACAUGAGACACAACAACCUGUUAAAAUGCAAGCAAGGAUGCCAUCACCACCACUGAGUCCAAGAAGAAGAGUGGGAGUUACUAAAGGAGGAUAUAGGUUUCCAGUUCCUGUUCCAGACAAUUCAGACUGUGUUGAGAAACUUCCUCCUAGAAUUCCAAAAACUAAGAGGGGUGGUGGUACCUUAGGGUUAGGAAGGGAUGGACCAAGAGUUGCAUUUGGAAGGACAGUUCCAUGGUUAAGAAGUGGGGUGGGUACAUAUGAGAAAGUCACAUUUUCUGCAAUAAAGAGAAAAAUGCAACCCAAAAAAUAAGUCUUUGUACCAACUAUGAUGGCUGAACCAACUAUGAUGGCUGAACCACAACUAGGGACACAGGAGCCAGUGAAUGAAGGCACAAGGAAACAAACAACCCCAAAAAAACCAACACCCAAGAAGCAACAAGCAGCUUUGAAGAAAAGGCUUCCAAGCUAAAGAAUCCUGGAGAGGAAACUGUGCAGGAAGGAGAAUGAUGAUCGCCCUGGACUCACAGAAUCUGAUGAUAUUACUAUAUUGUAAUUUGGUUCUAAAUUUGGUCCAUGUAAUGUAACUUUGUACUGUAAUAUUUAGGUCUAGAUGCAUGGUAUGGGCAGUUUGUUACAAUUUUCUGUAACUCAUCUUUUGUGUAUCUAGUAACAAACUCCCUUGGUAUUUCUACAUAUGCAUUGAAGAAACAAACUUAUUUGUUGGGUUUUAUGUACCUAACAUGUGACAAA